This 370-nucleotide ribosomal RNA is filed under the name uncultured eukaryote. Its description in RNAcentral is "partial 18S ribosomal RNA". It matches the Rfam family "Eukaryotic small subunit ribosomal RNA", at positions 592 to 976 of the family's 1831-position model. The record is from RNAcentral.
CAAUAGCGUAUAUUAAAGUUGUUGCAGUUAAAAAGCUCGUAGUUGGACCUUGGACCUGGACAGGCGGUCCGCCUCACGGCGUGUACUGUCUUGCUGGGUCUUUCCUCUUGGUGAUCUGUUGUUUCGGCAGCAGGGAACCAGGACUUUUACUUUGAAAAAAUUAGAGUGUUCAAAGCAGGCUCGACGCCGGAAUAUAUUAGCAUGGAAUAAUAAAAUAGGACGUGCGGUUCUAUUUUGUUGGUUUUUGGAAUCGCCGUAAUGAUUAAUAGGGACAGUCGGGGGCAUUAGUACUCACAUGCUAGAGGUGAAAUUCUUGGAUUUUGUGAAGACUAACUGCUGCGAAAGCAUUUGCCAAGGAUGUUUUCAUUAA